CAGCAGCACAGCUGGGGACGGCCUCUGCCCGACUCUGGUGAGUUGUUAAAAGCAGACAGAACAAGGACAGAUGGAUCAAAAGGAAAAAAUCAUUGCAAAGUAGGUGAAAUAUCAGAGUGAAGCAUGGGAAAAUCCAGAAAGUGGAAGAUGACAUCGUGAAGAUAAUCUGAAAAACGCUGCUCCAGCUGAGAAGGUGCAGGUGGUGUCAAAAUGUGGGGCGUCCAGGCAGACAAACCCUGCCGCCCGACACUCAGGGCCGGCAACGUGACCUGAUGUUUCGUGUACUACCUCCUCACGAGUGGAUAUUGAUUUAUUCCUUCACGUACAGUUAAUCUAUAGUGAUAUCUAUAGUGAUUAUAGAUCUAUAGUAAUCUAUAGGGGUAUCUCCUUCGUGAAGGCACCUCUUCUUUGUUGUUGUAGGCGGACAGCUAUGGCAGGGGCAUUCCAAAAAUGAAGCACCACUACAAGUAUCAGGAAGGAGAUGCAAUGUUUAAACAAGCUGUUCCAUUUUCAUAACUAGC
Long non-coding RNA from Eublepharis macularius, 521 nucleotides. RefSeq lists it as uncharacterized. The record is from RefSeq and is a predicted model, not a curated record. The transcript is spliced from 3 exons. NCBI's taxonomy places the organism in Eukaryota, Metazoa, Chordata, Lepidosauria, Squamata, Eublepharidae.